UACGGGGGGAGCAAGCGUUGUUCGGAUUUACUGGGCGUAAAGGGCGCGUAGGCGGCCAGCACAAGUCAGUUGUGAAAUCUCCGAGCUUAACUCGGAAAGGUCAACUGAUACUGUGCGGCUAGAGUGCAGAAGGGGCAACUGGAAUUCUCGGUGUAGCGGUGAAAUGCGUAGAUAUCGAGAGGAACACCUGCGGCGAAGGCGGGUUGCUGGGCUGACACUGACGCUGAGGCGCGAAAGCUAGGGAAGCGAACGGG
RNAcentral lists this ribosomal RNA (254 nucleotides) under uncultured bacterium. RNAcentral describes it as "partial 16S ribosomal RNA". It matches the Rfam family "Bacterial small subunit ribosomal RNA", at positions 524 to 776 of the family's 1533-position model. The record is from RNAcentral.